RNAcentral lists this unclassified non-coding RNA (284 nucleotides) under Hevea brasiliensis (rubber tree). Lineage: Eukaryota; Viridiplantae; Streptophyta; Magnoliopsida; Malpighiales; Euphorbiaceae. The record is from RNAcentral.
CAAACUAUCCAUCCCAAGGAAGAGUCUGAAAAUCACAGCAAAGGGGAUCAGUCUGUGCAGUUUGAGUCAGAGAAUGAUGUUAAGCCAACAAAUUUAAUUGAAAGAGCCAAGGAAGAGAUCGAAGUAAUAAUCCACCAUAAGAAUUCGCCUCGCAUUCAUCACAAAGAAACUCAUGGAAAGGGAGAUGACAUUGAUGAGACCACUCCGAUUGAUGAAAUCAAAGGGCCAAGUAUUUUCCAACGAGCUAAGGAAGAAAUCGAAGCCCUUGUUGAAACCAUCCACCC